CCUCGGCUUAGUUUCGGCUUGGGUGUAUUCAUAGGAGCAAGCUGACAUCAAUUGGAGCAGAAAGCCCGAACUUGCUGGGUUGCAGACGUCGAACUCCAUUACCGGUUGAGCUUCGAAUUAGGUAGGACGGAGUUGAUCGACUCGGCGUCGACUAGGCUAUCUCCGGAAAUUGUGUUCUUCGUCAUCGAGGUUUCAUCUGCAAAUUCUGCCCCAGAAGGACUCCAGUUACCCGAGGAACAGAAGGUUCGCAACUCUCGGAGUACGUGAGAGAACGCAUCGGAAUCCAGGUAGGGAUUCAGGACUCUCCUCGGUUAGUGAUUUUCUUAUAUUGUUAUUAAAUGAUGCAUGUUAGUUGGUAUGGUUUGGUUAUGUUCAAAUGCAAUGCAUACUAACCAAACCAUGUGAGAAAUGUGAUGGCUUGAGAGCGAAGGGUGGCUCUGACUUCCUUGGGUUCGAUCCCCAAAACCUCCGGAGGGUUAGUUACACCGGUCGGACGGUGAGCGAUCGCAAUGACGACCCGAUCCGUGUGUGUAGCUAGGUAGCGGACGCUCUCGCUACGCUUACCUGGUGAUAAAUUAAAUUGAGUGUGGAUGCAGGUACUGUGCACUGGUGACGGGACAGUAGCGGACGGAGCUGGGUGUGCGGAACAAGUUCGGUAAAUCAUUGUUUGGAUUCUGUUUUAGAUUCUGUUUCUCGAACUUCGUGUUUCGGAACUUGUGGAUAUUUAGCAUC
Molecule: long non-coding RNA, 732 nt
Organism: Rosa rugosa (rugosa rose)
Lineage: Eukaryota; Viridiplantae; Streptophyta; Magnoliopsida; Rosales; Rosaceae
Exons: 3
Source: RefSeq, a predicted model, not a curated record